UACGUAGGCAGCGAGCGUUGUUCGGAAUUAUUGGGCGUAAAGAGUGCGUAGGCGGUGCUCUAAGUCUGUCGUGAAAUCUCCCGGCUCAACUGGGAGGGUACGGCGGAAACUGGAAUGCUAGAGUGUGGGAGAGGUAAGCGGAAUUCCUGGUGUAGCGGUGAAAUGCGCAGAUAUCAGGAAGAACACCGAUGGCGAAGGCAGUUCUCUGGGACGGUACUGACGCUGAGACGCGAAAGCGUGGGGAGCGAACAGG
This 253-nucleotide ribosomal RNA is filed under the name uncultured bacterium. RNAcentral's name for it is "partial 16S ribosomal RNA". It matches the Rfam family "Bacterial small subunit ribosomal RNA", at positions 524 to 776 of the family's 1533-position model. The record is from RNAcentral.